This 163-nucleotide ribosomal RNA is filed under the name uncultured bacterium. RNAcentral's name for it is "partial 16S ribosomal RNA". It matches the Rfam family "Bacterial small subunit ribosomal RNA", at positions 337 to 493 of the family's 1533-position model. The record is from RNAcentral.
GCCUACGGGAGGCAGCAGUGGGGAAUUUUGCGCAAUGGGCGAAAGCCUGACGCAGCAACGCCGCGUGUGUGAUGAAGGUCUUCGGAUUGUAAAGCACUUUCGACCGGGACGAAAACCCGUUUCCUAACACGAAACGGCUUGACGGUACCGGGAGAAGAAGCAC